CUGCCCAGAACCUUCUUUCUUCAUUCUUCUUUCUUAUUCUUCUUUCUUAUUCUUUUUCCCUUCCUCUCUUCUUCAUUCUUCUUUCUUAUUCUUCCCUUCUUUCGAUCGAUUUCUAGUUGACGGAGCUAGAUUAAAUUGAUGUGAGUAAUUCUUUAAGCUUAGGAGUUAUUUGUAUCGAUGGAGAAGGUGAUGGUGCCGUUGUUGUUUGAUUACAGGAAAAAGAGAAAAAGGUUAAUCUUUAUUAACACCGAUCGAUUCAAAGGAUGAACCAAUAGAAUGUGGAUUUCAAGAUAGGCUUGGCUUGUCAUCAAAUCGUUUCAGUAAUCAGAAGAAAUGGUGCACGUGAAGAUAUCCAUUUUCGUAGCUUAAAGCUUUUACCGCAUUAGAGAUAUUGUGUAUCUUUCGUUUAUGUAUUUUUUUUGUUAAUCUGUAAAAAAACACAUUAUAAUAUUCAUAUCACUCGAGAGAUCUUCAUUUAUACAAUAGCAGAGAGUAUGGGUUUGUUUUUGGGACUAGCUUAUGUAAUUGAGAUUCUUAAAUUCGUUAAUCUAGAUUUGAUGCUUUCAAUUA
Long non-coding RNA from Papaver somniferum (opium poppy), 570 nucleotides. RefSeq lists it as uncharacterized. The record is from RefSeq and is a predicted model, not a curated record. The transcript has 3 exons. NCBI's taxonomy places the organism in Eukaryota, Viridiplantae, Streptophyta, Magnoliopsida, Ranunculales, Papaveraceae.